RNAcentral lists this ribosomal RNA (320 nucleotides) under uncultured eukaryote. Its description in RNAcentral is "partial 18S ribosomal RNA". It matches the Rfam family "Eukaryotic small subunit ribosomal RNA", at positions 1470 to 1796 of the family's 1831-position model. The record is from RNAcentral.
CCCUUAGAUGUUCUGGGCUGCACGCGUGUUACAAUCGGGAGUACAACAAGAUUGCAAAUCCUAGUGGAUGAGUGGUUCUUCGAAAUUUUCUGAAGACUGGGAUAGUUGAUUGAAAUUAUUCAACUCGAACGAGGAAUUCCUUGUAAUUGUAAUUCAUUAUAUUGUAAUGAAUACGUCCCUGCCCUUUGUACACACUGCCCGCCGCUCCUACCGAUUGAACGAUCCGGUGAAUUAUUUGGAGUAGCUCUGGAAGUUGCAGAACUUCCUAUGUCACGAAAUUUUGUAAACCUUAUCGUUUAGAGGAAGGAAAAGUCGUAACA